GAUGAGCGCUGGCGGCGUGCCUAAUACAUGCAAGUCGAGCGAACAGACGAGGAUCUUGCUCCUCUGACGUUAGCGGCGGACGGGUGAGUAACACGUGGAUAACCUACCUAUAAGACUGGGAUAACUUCGGGAAACCGGAGCUAAUACCGGAUAAUAUAUUGAACCGCAUGGUUCAAUAGUGAAAGACGGUUUUGCUGUCACUUAUAGAUGGAUCCGCGCCGCAUUAGCUAGUUGGUAAGGUAACGGCUUACCAAGGCAACGAUGCGUAGCCGACCUGAGAGGGUGAUCGGCCACACUGGAACUGAGACACGGUCCAGACUCCUACGGGAGGCAGCAGUAGGGAAUCUUCCGCAAUGGGCGAAAGCUUGACGGAGCAACGCCGCGUGAGUGAUGAAGGUCUUCGGAUCGUAAAACUCUGUUAUUAGGGAAGAACAAAUGUGUAAGUAACUAUGCACGUCUUGACGGUACCUAAUCAGAAAGCCACGGCUAACUACGUG
Molecule: ribosomal RNA, 497 nt
Filed under: uncultured bacterium
Lineage: Bacteria
Description: partial 16S ribosomal RNA
Rfam family: Bacterial small subunit ribosomal RNA
Source: RNAcentral